AGGGGAAUCAGCUGGGUUUGGGGCUUAUUGACUUCAGCAGUGCUGCAGCCAAGAGCCUGAAACGUUUAUUUCUGAGUAUUCUUAGGCUGAGCUCCUUCCUUAGAGUUUACGAGCACCACUGCUUCAGCAAAGCUAUAACCAACAACUCUUUCUGCCUGGGAAUGGACUCAUAAGGCCCAGUUGGGAGAAUGACAGCUCUGCCCUACUGUGGGGAGCUCCUCUGAGGCCUGGUCCAAAGCACUGGUCUGGUAGACACGAGGUACCAACGCUUCCUGCUCCCUAUUGAUGUCACUUGGAGAUUUGAUUGUCAACAUCAUAAAAACAGCACCAGAAAAAGCCACAAGAUAUUGCAUAAAGCCCAGAAUGACUGAAAGUUGGUGGACUUUUUCAGGAGAUACAUUUUUUCACUGGUUUCUCAAACAGACCCUGCUUUUCUGAAAAAGGGAUAUGAGGACAAAUUCAGCUCGCAUCAUCCUCGGUUCCUUUGGCUGACAUGUAGCUUACUGUUGGAUGCAUUUCUGAAGUUCUUGAAGCAAUUGAAAAUGUUAUUCAAGAUGUAUUUGAAAGCUUGUCCAAACAACAAGCACCUGUUCUCACAGUGACUAGGAGAUCAGAUUGGAGGAAUAUUGAGUAAGUUUUAUAUAGUUUAAAGUCCUGCCUUAUGUUAUUAUAAAUGUCAUGAAUAUAAAUUUGAUUGUAUAAUGUCUAGAAAAGUUAAUCUUAUGUAGUUCUGUAAGUAUUAGAGUCAAUAUAUAAUUUGGCUUCUUAAAAAAAUAAUGGACAAAUAAAAAGUGGUGUUUAGUACUCAAUCUGCAUAGACAGGCACUGUGCAUUUAGUCAAAUAACAGCAGACCAUUAACAUAAAGGGGAAUGUAAAACUUCUGUAAAAGGGUCAGAAAGGAAAUAGGUCCUAUAUACAAUAAUUUUCUGGAUACGGUAGAAAACAGAAAUAAUACAUUUUAUUUGAUUAAAAAAAUAAAAAUCUUUUAGGCUGGAAACAAUUGCUAGCAAUUUCAUUUUCUAAUCAACUUUCUGUGCUUCCCAUUUUCUUUUUCUCUGCUUUUCUUCAUGGUAUCUUAUUUCUUCAAAUGACAGUGAUAAAGUUAUCCUCUCUGUAUUCUUCAGAGAAGAUACUGUUCUCUUACCUUCAUGUUGUGUCCGUGUACUUUUCCAAGUCCAUGACUAGCCAAAUAAAGUAAAACAAGUUUCUGAAUUGUUAUCUAAAUUUCAUAUCUCAUGCCAGUUUACCUAGACAGGAUCAGAGGAAAACAACCUGUCCUUUAUAACACAGAUCUACAGAAGUUGCCUGUGCAACAGUAUUUUUCCAAGGCACUCAUUUCAGCUGAAAAUACCUGAAACCAAGAAAGUAAUUGCUUUCUAUAAUAUGGAAGCAAAAUGAUAAAGGAAGAAACAAAUCUAAAUUCUUGUCUUGUAAUGGCUUUGGGCAUCAUUGGGUUAAAGGAUAUUUAGAUCAAUAAGAUUGCAGAGGUGCUUGUAAGUGGGCACAUUACAAACGUUCAGAUUGCAAAAGCACAGCAAACCUUCCAAGCAUUACACUUUGGUGAAAUACUCAUUUAAUGACAACAAUAAAUUUCUGUCAAUCAGAGAACCUGAAGGGCCUGAAGGUAAUCAGUUAACUGAAAUGCUAGUGAAUUUAGUCAUUUCUAUCCUGGUAGCUUGACAAAAAGUGUUUCACUCAGAUGUCUGUAAAAAUCAAAAACUAUAACAAAACUUUGCAAUUUUUGGCAGUCUUGGGGAAAAUGGCAUUCCAGGCUAGAAAAACAAAUGUGAGAUGUUAUUUGCCAUCAGAAUACAUAGGGGGCAAAAUGUUCAUAUUAAAACAUCACAGUAUGUUAAAAAUAAGAUUCAUCAAUCAAAUUUAAAAAGCUGAAACAUUAUUUAUGGUGGAGAAAUGUAAACUCAUGUAUUCAUUCCAUUACAAAAUGAUGUGCGUACUUGUUUAAUACAACAGGAUUUCUGAGGAGGUUAAAAUAAAAAUAAGUAAGCAAAUAAAAAUAAAAAGCACCCCUCCCCCCAAUGUAACAGGAAUGGUAGAAAAGAUAGUUAGUGGGGCUUAUUUUUCCUUAUUUAGGCAGCAUUUCCAUUCCUAAUCUGCACAACUGGAAUCUGCAGGGCAGGAGCUUGUGGAAAUGAGAGAAUGAAUUCAUGUUUGAAACGUUCCCUGUAAACAUAGAGAUAUUUACCUGAGAAUGAGGUCAAUCGGUGAGAAUGCCAGGCCUAAAGCAGUACAAUUGGUUUCCAUUGAGCAAAUUUAUGUUAAAAUAAAUACAUAAAUAAAUACAGUUUUCAUAGAGUGGAAAGAUUUUACAGAAAACUGUUCUGUUGGGAUAAAUGCAGUACUAGGAAAAAUCUGAUAUACAAAAAAUCUGUAUCUGAUAUACAGCUAGGUUAAGGUUUUCUUUCUGAGCUAUCUGUGUGAGUCAAACUGAUCUUAAAUAUAAUGUUUCUAAAAUGAAGUGUUCCUUAUUUACCCUAACAGAGCAAUCCGGCAAAGUUUCAUUCUGUGCAGUUACAGUGUAGGGAACAAGGCACACACACGUUUUCAAUGUUGCAGCACAAAGGCAAGAAAGUUGCUUUGAAGCAGAAAGGCAGAUGCUACACUAUGCCGUCUGCUGCUGCUGUGCCUUACACAGCGCUGUGGUGUGUUCUGCCACCCAAAGGAUGCAUGGAGCAAAACCUUAGACAAAGAAAAAUUUAGAAAUGUUAUGUGGUUUUGUAUAAACUAAUGGUCAUUUAACCAUCGAUACUUUUUAAAAGUAGGUACAGAAAUCUAAAAUGAAAAACAAUGCGUUAUAGACAGGACUGUCAUUAAAAUAAGACACUAAAAUGAGCUGUUGUUAAGAAAACAAGUGAUUCUUCAUACCUACCUUCCGGUAUGAAAUGUUUAAAAAUUAAAUCGUGGAGCUCAUUUAGAUGAGUGAACUGUUUAGAGAAUAGGAUGACCCCCAUUUUUCUUUCCAAAAGUUCCAAAAAUGAAAUCUAUUUAUUUUGAUAAUAAGGGCAUAAAUCAGAUCAUAUUAUUGUAAUAUUAAAUAAUUACACUUUCUCAUACAUUCUACACCAGAAAGUUACUAUGUUAAAUUUGACUUGUAUACUAGUAAUAAAUCACAUUUUUUCCUGUGUUACGUAUUUGUUUGUUAGUAGUCUGUACUCAGUUUGAAAAUAGAGCUAGCAUGUAUGAUUUUAGGAAAGUGGUCUUAGUCUGAAUUAUCUUGGAUAGAGUAAUUUACAUAUCUUCACAAGAUUACAGUUUGCUGUAUUUUGCAAUGUAUCAGAUUUAAAGAUUCUGUAGGUCUACAGAUGGUACCAUAUUGUACUACAAAACAAAUCAGAAGUGACUGCCCUAGAUCAGCAACAAAGUUUGGUAAGUUAAAAAAACAAAUGUUCAAAUUCAGAAUUCUUAACUUUUUUUUUUUUUUCUUGUAUUUUAGUUUGAAACUUUGUAAAAGAUAUAAUUUUUGUCUUGUGCUUUAGAAGUGUAAGACUAAUAAAACUUGCAAUUAUGACCAGCCCUUCAGCUUUUCUCUGUUAACUUAUGGGGUGACAGUGAAAUCAAUACAAAAUUAUUAUAGUUUCUACACUCCCUGACUGAAUACCAGCUGGAGGCAUAUACACAAGGUUGUCAUACAAAAAUAUAACCAUUCUUCAAAAAGCUAACUGGUAAAGUGAUCUUGGAAUAUGGACAAUAAACUAAUUUAUUUUUCUAAAUCUGUCAAUUCAUUUCUUGGCCUUGAUUACAAGGCAUAUAUUCCCUAACUCAACUCCAUCAUUUUUUUUUUCUAGUUAUGCUAGAAAUUAUUGAGUCUGUUAGCACAACCUCUCUGUAUUUUCACAGCAUGUUACAAUGCGUGCACAAAUUGUAUUCAUGUUUCAGUGUUUUAUGUUUUGAGACACAAAUAUGGGUCAAUAUAAACAAAUAUUAUAGUAUGUGCAUUUCUGAAAAUUGAUAUGAUUAAAAUUUUUGAAGUGUAUUUUUUCAGCUCUGAUGCUCAAAAUAUUGUCUAUGAUCUACAAGAUGGUGCAGAGCGAUACUUAUGCAACUAAAAGGUAACAGUGCAAUUCUAUAAUUUCAGAUAAAGUUUUAUUUUAAGAAUGCCACUGUGAAAAACAAACAGCCACUAGGAUAUAUACCUUUAGGAUAACAGAUUUCUCUAUGUGAAAUGCUAUACACUGAUUUUAUUAUCUAUGCCCUCAGUAAAAUGUUGUUCUCUGUUCUCAUAAGCUGACUAUUUCAAUAUUAUAAUUACAAAUACAUAUUUUGUCUUGAUAGGGAUAUAUAUUACUCAGAUACACAACUGUUUGGUAGCCAGAGUGUUGUGGACAAUAUAAUCAAUGACAUUUCUUGUAUGCUUAAGAUACCUCGGAGAAGUCUACAUAUAGUAAGUGGCUUAUUAUUAAUGUUUUGAUUCUGUUGUUAUUUCCCAAUCAUAUAGAUCAUACUGAAAGCUGAAAUAUCAAGAAAAAAAGUGAUUAUUAGGAAAUAUGUAGUUAAAAUAGAAAGUGUUAUUUGUGCAAAUGAAACCUUAUUAGGUUUUGAACACUCUGAAGGUUCCUUUCUUCAGAGAAAAUUCAUAGACUACAAGACAUCUGUUUCACAGUUUAUACUUGAAUGAUUUGCUAACUUGUGGUUUAAGUGAAAAUUUCAGGUGAGUCAGAGGUGUAAGGUUUGGACUUACUUUUAUUUCAUGCUUACAAGAAUUCUUUUGUAUCCAUAAAUGUAGUUGCUAACAUAACUUACUGUAAAUACACCUUUAUAUACAUGAUGACAGCAAUGUUGCUUUGGUUUUUAAAAGGUUGGUCUUAGCUGAUAACUACUUACUAUGUUGUUCCUCUCCCCCCCCACCCCUAGCCCCUUCCUCCCCAAGUUUCUUGUUUUGCCUGUGUAAUGCAGUAAAAUAAAAUCAUAUAACUUACAAUUUACUGUAUACAACUUAUUAUUUUUUUUUCAGCUGUCUACAACUAAAGGUUUUGUUGCUGGUAAUUUAAGUUAUACUGAGGAAGAUGGUACAAAAGUGAAUUGUACCUGUGGUGCAACAGUAUGUAUUAUAUAACAAUAACAGUAAUUAGAAUAAAUAGAAUAGUUUCAGUUGGAAGGAACUUACAUAGAUCACCAUCUACCUUUGUGGACUGCACUUCUUGUAGCUCAGUGUGCUGUAUACAUUUAUUAUACAGACCUGUAAUCGUGCUACCUAUGCAGCUACCAGCCAGUGAGUCCCCAUCUGCCUGAAUCUAACCCAGGUACAGCUUAUGGUCCCUCUCACUGUGUACUAGGUAAAGAACAUGAAUGAGAGCUGUGGACACUGUCUAGGGUAUGUGAAGGAGAAGGAAACAGAUGUAAAGAGGACAGGUCUGUAUAUAUGGUGUGGACUUGGGGAGAGGUUAUCAAAGGCAGUACUGAGCUAAAGAGAAGUCUAUACCCACAGCUUGAUAAGUAGUCAAGAGCCAGAAGUGUUUUGAGGAGAUGAGAUUCAACUAAUCUGGUCCUAUAAGAUUUCCCGUAGAUGAAAAGAUUAUGAAAGCAGGAGCAGAACUUAGAUUUGCUGACUGUUGUCAUGAUUUACUGGAAAAUCUAUUCAUUGUAAGCCUAAACUGAUGAUUUCAAAAUGGAAAGAUGACCUUAGCUGCCUAUUAUACUUUGUCUUAAAGUAAAGCAUAAAGACCCCUGUUAUUAAUACUCUUCUACAGCUCUUCAUAGUUUUAUUUGUUGAGUUGUUCCACACUGGCACCGGAGGUGAUUUAGCAGUCAGGAGUAAAAGCAGACCACACACUUCAAUGUAUAUAUAGUCUUUUGCCAAGUUCUUCCUCCAGUUCCUUUUUCUCAUCCAUAUGCUUGCCAGAUUGAGCCAAUCCUAAUAUGAGGUGUAAAGUAAACAUUACUGUGUCUUAAAACUGUUGCUCCAAGAUAGUUAUAAAAACAGGUUAUAGGUUAAUAAAAGAAAGGAUUAAAUGGUCUUCCAAAAAGAAUGCCUAAAUGUUUUAAACCUGUAUUAAAUUUUCAAUUUUCACAUCAAGAUGACUUUUCUUCUGGGUAAAAAAAGAUAAAAAAACGAAUCAAGACAUUGUUAUCUCUGUAAUGCCCAUAUGAUGAACAAUCUUUGGUGACAGUAGCACAAACAUGCUUUUGAAAAGCAUCUUGUUAUAACAGGAGGACUUCUAUAAGACCAUACAAUAGAACAGGAUAUAAAUGGUUGAAUGUACUUAUAAAGCAGUGAAAACGUCAAAAUCAAUCUUGUAUAUAAGAAGAUGAAUGGUUGUUUUAGGAUGUAAUUGUGUUCUUCAUUACCUAAUGUUGUUAUUUUAAAAUGUAUCAGUUUCUCUAUUAUAAAUGAUUAAUAUAAUUUUUGUUGUUUUAGGCAGUCACUGUGCCAUCUAAUGUUCAAGGAAUUAAAAAUUUAAACUCACAUGCCAAAUUUAUAUUAAUCGUAGAAAAAGAUGCAACUUUUCAGAGACUACUGGAUGAUGACUUCUGCAUUAAAUUGUCCCCAUGUAUAAUGAUUACGGUAUGCAACUUACAUCUUAUAUCAUCUUGUUAGACAUCAGAAUAGAGAAGACUUUACACUAUGCAGAAAACUACAUAUGUAUCAGCUACCCAUAAUAGUCAGUCAUAUCUAGAACUUGUUUUAUAUUGUUUCUUUAGUGCCUUAAGUAUUUUUGAGAAGAAAAAAGUGGCCUUUUAAUUUUUAUGCCAGUUUAUACAGAUACUGGAGUACAUCUGUGUGUCAACUCCCAGAGCUUACACAGAGAAAUGUAUGAUAAUUCUACAGGGCCUAUAAUCCAGGACAUCUGCAGUGCUGCUCCCAAACCCUUGUUCCUUCUUCCCUUCCCACAGAGAGAAAAUAAGAGUGUACCAUUUUCCCUGUGAGAUAGCUGCUGGAAAAAUAUUCCUGCAAACAUUUUGUUUGCUUGUUUUAAAUGGCAAAUGUAAACACACAUGUAGCCAGAUGUUGUUUUAAUUAAUUUAAAACUGUCUGCUUUAUUUUAUUUCCUUAGGGAAGAGGCAUACCAGAUCUGAAUACACGCCUUUUGGUCAGAAAGCUGUGGGAUACAUUUCAAAUUCCUGUUUUCACCCUUAUGGAUGCUGAUCCACAUGGUAAAUCUGUAGAGGUUCAGUAACAUAAAAAGAAAGCAGAAUUUAUUUAGAAUCUAGUUUCUCACUUUUAUGGGAAGGUGCUUAUGGCAUAGAGUGGGCAAUCCAACACAAACAGAAAGUUUCUGAUUUAUGCAGAAUAUGUCUAGGAGUACAGAAGUUUAACUGAGACAUCAGUACUGGCCUGAUUCCCACUCAACGUACUCUUAUUGUCUGUGAUGAUUUGCUGUGCUCUGAGGUCUUAAUAAAAUCUUGCUUUGUACCUAAAAAAUAUUUUUAUACAAUUUGUAGGUCGUAUUAGAACUAGAUUUUCACAAGACCUGUGGGCCUAGAAAUGAGAAUAAGCAUCAUGGAAUUUAUGACCCAUUGUACAAUUCCACUGAUUUUAAUGAGUUAUGCACCUGACUACUAUUUAAAGUCUCAGGAGGUCCUAGAUAAAUACUUUCAAAAAUGUAGCUCUGAUAAGAGUUCUAGCAGUUGGUUAAACUGCUCCUUUUGUAAAACCAAAAGAAAUAACAGGAACUUCCAUAAACAUUGCUUGGUUUGGUAUAAAACAGAAUUUUUGGUAUAAAACAGAAUUUUUGGAAAUUCAUAGGGUAGACAGAUAUGAAGAAAAUUGUAUUUUUGAACAAAGUGAGUCUUUUAUUGAUUUUUAAAGUAGUUUAUAUAGUCUUAUAUAAAUAAUUCAGCACUCAUGACGUCAAUAAUUUAUGCAGUGAAAUCUAGAACCUACUAGUAGGAUGCCAGCAGGAACAAAAUUAAUCUUAAAAUUGAGGCUGUGCUGGCAAAUGGGAAUGCUAAAGAUAUGAGGACUCAUCUCAAAAUAGUUACCUGGAUAUCGCUGUAUUGGACAUACUGGAAGUACUUCACAUCUCAUAGUUUUGGUGGGGUUGUUUGUUUGUUUUCUACUGAGAACAUGAACAGCUGUGAACUGCAGACUCAACGGUCAGUCUUAACUUAUCAAAAUUUGCAGAAUUUAUCUGUAAGUUACUUGUAUCAAAGAAUAGCCCAUAGGCUAUCUAUAUGUUUUGAAGAUCAUCUGCCCAAAAGCUGAAAUGCAAAUCCUAGACAUAGACUAAUCUGGAACUUCCUUUGUUACUGAAAAGUAAACGCUUUUUAAUUUUCACCCUGCCAUAUCAGAAAUAUCACAGUGGCAGAACUUUGCCGUUUUUUUUUUUUUCUUUCUUUCUUUUUUUCCCGUAAGAAGUGGGAAUGUGGCAUGAAAUCUGGAUUAUUUGCACUGUUUCAUUCCCACUGUCUGAGAGGCAACAUGACCAGAUUGAGCAUAUCGUGGAAUACUGUUUGCGUGGAAUACUGUUUGUCUUUAUUUUUUGUCUUUAUUUUUCUGUGGCCAUGCUGAGGGGAAGUUAAGAUGGGUCAGACUUCCUGAAGCUUAUAUGCUGUUGCUGUUGUGUGAAAUAAGCUUCAAAACCUUGUUCUGAUGAUUCAACUGCAGAACAGCUUGAUAGCAUAUACUUGGUUUUGUAAAUACUCUUUGAAAUGCAACUUUAUGUAAAUUAUUUCUUGGUUCAACCAGUUAAAAAUUAGAGAUGUUUAGGAUACUGACUGAGCCCUUUGUUGUGAAGAAAUACUUAAGGAGAAAACAGCAAUGGUGAAAAAACUUAGAGUUGUAGCUGGUAUGCUUUAAACCACAGUCUCUGGUGUCUGUAGUUCAAGAUAAAUAACUGAAUUUUAAGCUAAAAACAAGAAUUGGUGGUACUCUUCAGUAUACAUCGAAAAACUGCAUUAAUUAAUGCAUAUUUGCACUAUUCAAAUAUCUGGUAAAUGUUACUAAAUAUCUGGUAAAUGUUACUAAAUGUACUGUUUUUUUUUUUUUCCUUUUGUUUUUAUUGCAGAAAAUUUUGAGCAGAGCAGCACAGUUUAAAAAGAAAAAUAAGUUAUCAAAUCAGAAAAUAAAUCUGAUAGGCAUAGUUUUAUUUCACAAAAAAUCAAAGUCUGUCUGCUGACAAUUAAUAGAAUUGCUUAAAUGUAAAAUAUGUUUUAAGUAUUAAAUAAGUAAAGUACACACAAUGUUUUAACAAAGCCUGAAUACACAGCUGGGUGGGUUGUUGAUUUUUUUUCAAGCUCUUAAACAUCUCAUAACUGAAAUUUAGACCAAGCUGAAGUGUAUGAGAUUUUUAUCAGGAACUUUAAGAAAGUAAUUGCUAUAAUUUUGCUAUAAAGCAAUAGUGUUAAGAGAUAUGGAUUACACAAGAUUAAUGGAAAAAAAAAAAAAAAAAAAGACAAUAUUCCUGCCUGAUGUUGGACAACGUGUAUGAGAGCUGAUUAUCCUUGCUUCUGAAAUGACUAUGUGUGGACAGUGUGAAACAUUUUACUAUAUAAAGAUGAAUGAAUAGAUGAUACAUCAAAUUCUGAUUAUUUUGACAUACACUAAAAAUAAUUUUAAACCAUAAAGAACUUCACUAAUCAUAAUGUCAUAACUGUUAUGCCAUAAAAGUGAAUUCUUAAUGUAGUCUUCUUAAGCGUGGUGAUAAACAGACAUUUGAUAUUUUAUAUUCUCCAACCUAGGUAUAGAAAUAAUGUGCAUCUAUAAAUAUGGAUCUGUGGUGAGUAUAAUUUUUCCAUUUCAAAAUAUAUUAUUUUUUAGUCCUGCCUUGAAGCUUGGAUGUAGUAUGAGUUAGAAUAGUUACUACCUUUGGCAUUUUGUUUCAGCACAGACACAGUUUUUAGGCCUUCUGUAUCUGCAAAAACAGCUUCUUUCUGCAACAAAAAGAAACUGGAUAAUAAUGUCAGGUGUUUCAUUUAACCAUGUUUCACAGCUUUUUUCCUGCUGUACAGGUAGUUUUCAGGAAGUCCAAAUAGAAAAGUGUUCUUCAUUUUCUUUUGUUUCUGCCUUAGAAGACAAAUGAAGGCUGGGAAUGAAAAGAACAUAACUUGUGAGAUGGGUGAACUGCUUGAUUCUCCAUAAAAUCUUGUUGUCUUGGUAAAGAUUUUGUUUUGGGGUGAGAAGUUACGGAUACAUGUUUUAGUGUGGAACAUUAUGGAGGAAGAAGCAAAAGGAAUAAGAACGCAUAUUGUAAUACAUUGCUAAAAGAUGAGGUACAGAAAACAACAUGAAAGGCAGGCAGACUAAGGGGAGGGCAGAGAGUAGGAGCAGAUGUGUGAACUGUUUGGGAGACCAAUGGAGAAAACAUCCAAAGUUAAAAACAAACAAACAUAAAAACUCACACACAGAGCAAAACACAUAAAAACCCUUUGGAAACUAGUCAGACAAUUAUGUCCAAAGUCAAAUAUAUGUCAUAAUGUAUGUCUCAUGGACAUACAGGGAGCCAGAAUUCCCAAGUGUUCAGGUGACCCGUCAGGCUUUUAACCUUAGAAAUGCAUGUAAACUAAGAGAACACCAUCUUCAAGGAUUAAACUAAAUCCUCAGGUUCCUUUAAAAGUUUAUUUUGUUCAAUUGCAGAGUAACACAUGUAUCAAACUGAAACUCAAAUAUGCCAAAUCCAUUACCAACAGUGGAAGUAUUCCUUUGUACAACAUGUAAUUUAAAUCACAGAAUCACAGAAUCAUUUAGGUUGGAGAAGACCUCUAAAAUCAUCUAGUCCAGUCUGCUGUAGUGUGCUAUAGGUUUCAGAAGUUUUCAUGGAUUCUAAAAGCAAUCAGACAAAAUCAAACACUACUAAAUACUGUAACACCGCUUCUGGCUCAGAACGUUGGAGUCACAAACUGCUAGGAGUAGGAAUAGCAUUCUGAGAAGUAUCAUUUAUUGCAUAUUUGUUUUUACAGUUUUCCUUUAGAUAUUUCUGUAGCCAUGAUACUGGGUCAGAUGCCCUUAUGUUUGGGCUAUUUUUAUAUAAUGUGAUACUUUCCAGCAGAAAAUAUCAGAAAUUUUCAGUUGUAAUUGUCAUUGCUUCUCCUGGCUUCAGUUUUGUUUGGGAGACUCAUACUGACUGUGAAAAACAAACAAACAAAAAUCAAAACCUAUUCAGGCUACAAUCUCUUGUGGCUAAAUAGUGCAAGCCUUAAAGGAGAAUCUGUUUCCAGUAAGGGGAUAUGGUAAACUCCAGCUGCACCAUUUUCUCAUGUAACAUUCUGAUAAUAACAAAAAAAAUAACCACCUCUGCAAUAAAAUUUGUGAUCUAGGAAGGCAUAUAUCUCAAAUGACUUAAACUAAAAGUCACUGAAUGUUGUAGUUGACUCUUCUUGUUUCAGUCAAUGUCUUUUGAGGCCCAUCAUCUCACUGUUCCAUCUGUAAAGUGGCUUGGUCUCCUUCCAUCUGAUCUGAAGAGGUUAGUUUAUACCCAAAAGAAACAGAAGUAUUCUUCUUCUAUUUCAUAGAUAGUAAAUACCAUCUGACUUAAUGCACAAACAAACAACUGACACCUAUUAUUGUUUUCAUACAUUAUUUUUGGCUUAUUAUAAAGAAGUAAGUUGGAAUUGAUAUUUCUGAAAUAUAAGAGAAAAUUUAACAACAUUAUUUACUUUUCAGAUUAAAUAUAUGCAAAGAUGUCCUGAUUCCACUUACAAAGCAAGAUCAAAAUAAGUUAGCAAGUAUACAAAAGAGACCUUACAUUGCUUCUCAGCCAAUGUGGAAGAAAGAGGCAUGUACAAACCUAUUGUUUCU
Non-coding RNA from Anas platyrhynchos (mallard), 11693 nucleotides. The record is from RefSeq and is a predicted model, not a curated record. Lineage: Eukaryota; Metazoa; Chordata; Aves; Anseriformes; Anatidae.